RNAcentral lists this transfer RNA (114 nucleotides) under bacterium. RNAcentral describes it as "tRNA-OTHER". It matches the Rfam family "tRNA". Rfam says of the family: Transfer RNA (tRNA) molecules are approximately 80 nucleotides in length. Their secondary structure includes four short double-helical elements and three loops (D, anti-codon, and T loops). Further hydrogen bonds mediate the characteristic L-shaped molecular structure. tRNAs have two regions of fundamental functional importance: the anti-codon, which is responsible for specific mRNA codon recognition, and the 3' end, to which the tRNAs corresponding amino acid is attached (by aminoacyl-tRNA synthetases). tRNAs cope with the degeneracy of the genetic code in two manners: having more than one tRNA (with a specific anti-codon) for a particular amino acid; and 'wobble' base-pairing, i.e. permitting non-standard base-pairing at the 3rd anti-codon position. The record is from RNAcentral.
GCUGGGAUGCCCGAGUGGUCUAAGGGGCCAGACUCAAGUAAAAUUUGCUUCUUGACAAAAAUUCAAGAUUUCUGGUAGACAACGUCUGCGUGGGUUCGAACCCCACUUUCAGCA